UACAUUUCUGGGUUCUACUUCACUCCUAUUGUUUUCAAUGCUCCCAACCCUGUCUCAGUCAUCAUCCGAUCUUUAUUUAAUAAACUGUACUUUCGUAAAUGUUUCUUGAUUAUUCCAAGCUUAGAUAAAAAUAGGUAAAAGAUGUUGCCCUUCCCUGAGCAAUGUACCUCCUAAUGCGCUGGUACAUGGUACCAAAGCGCCUUUACAAGAUUUAU
Non-coding RNA from Pelobates cultripes (western spadefoot toad), 215 nucleotides. NCBI's taxonomy places the organism in Eukaryota, Metazoa, Chordata, Amphibia, Anura, Pelobatidae. The record is from the annotation of a GenBank genome assembly.